Molecule: ribosomal RNA, 384 nt
Filed under: Triticum aestivum (bread wheat)
Lineage: Eukaryota; Viridiplantae; Streptophyta; Magnoliopsida; Poales; Poaceae
Description: partial small subunit ribosomal RNA
Source: RNAcentral
AUGCCGUGUCCGCGGCCGGCGGUCCUGCUCUCCGCGGCCGCGUGGCUGUGGCUGUUCCUGUCGGCCGCCGGCGCGCUGGCGGACGGCGGCAACGGCACGGUGUGCCUGUGCACGGGCCCGCGGUGCGUGCCGCCCUGCCCCGUCCCUGGGACGACGCCGCCGACGACGUCGCCCACGCAGUUCCCCUUCUGCCCGCAGCGGCCGCCGGCGGUGGGGCCCUUCCCGUGGGAGCAGCAGCCGCCGGCGUCGCCGAGGUCGGGGUCGGGGUUCCCCCAGGACGCGGGCUUCCUCGCGGCAGCUGCGGCGAGCCCCACUAGGAAUCCGGCGGCGUGGCUGGCGGUGGCCGCCGUGUGCUCUGCUUUGCUGCUGCUCCUGCAGCAGUGA